This 253-nucleotide ribosomal RNA is filed under the name uncultured bacterium. RNAcentral describes it as "partial 16S ribosomal RNA". It matches the Rfam family "Bacterial small subunit ribosomal RNA", at positions 524 to 776 of the family's 1533-position model. The record is from RNAcentral.
UACGGAGGAUCCAAGCGUUAUCCGGAUUUAUUGGGUUUAAAGGGUGCGUAGGCGGGACUUUAAGUCAGUGGUGAAAGUUUGCCGCUUAACGGUAAAAUUGCCAUUGAUACUGAAGUUCUUGAGUACAGAUGAAGUAGGCGGAAUGAGGAGUGUAGCGGUGAAAUGCGUAGAUAUUCCUCAGAACACCGAUUGCGAAGGCAGCUUACUAAGGUGUUACUGACGCUGAUGCACGAAAGCGUGGGGAUCAAACAGG